This 77-nucleotide transfer RNA is filed under the name Acidobacteria bacterium 13_2_20CM_58_27. RNAcentral's name for it is "tRNA-Arg". It matches the Rfam family "tRNA". From Rfam's summary of the family: Transfer RNA (tRNA) molecules are approximately 80 nucleotides in length. Their secondary structure includes four short double-helical elements and three loops (D, anti-codon, and T loops). Further hydrogen bonds mediate the characteristic L-shaped molecular structure. tRNAs have two regions of fundamental functional importance: the anti-codon, which is responsible for specific mRNA codon recognition, and the 3' end, to which the tRNAs corresponding amino acid is attached (by aminoacyl-tRNA synthetases). tRNAs cope with the degeneracy of the genetic code in two manners: having more than one tRNA (with a specific anti-codon) for a particular amino acid; and 'wobble' base-pairing, i.e. permitting non-standard base-pairing at the 3rd anti-codon position. The record is from RNAcentral. RNAcentral also lists the same sequence under 2 other names. Lineage: Bacteria; Pseudomonadati; Acidobacteriota.
GACCCCGUAGCUCAAUUGGAUAGAGCGAAUGGCUUCGAACCAUUAGGUUCCGAGUUCAAGUCUCGGCGGGGUCGCCA